Molecule: long non-coding RNA, 2345 nt
Organism: Cavia porcellus (domestic guinea pig)
Lineage: Eukaryota; Metazoa; Chordata; Mammalia; Rodentia; Caviidae
Exons: 5
Source: RefSeq, a predicted model, not a curated record
GUUUGGGCGGACCGAGCAACGGUGGCACAACGUGCGAGCUAGGUGGGUAAGUCUCCCACCUGGACCAACGAACACGAGGACGACCACUCCAGUGGAGCGAGGAGGACCUUGGAGUCCGGCACUCUGGCCAUCGCCACCUUCAGCAGCACAAGACGGUAGACUCGGGAGCGCACCGGCGACCCUGCGCACAGGUGGCAGUGUAGAAGCCAAAUCGGGAGCUUCUAGCAGUGGUUUCUAAAAAAUAAAGAGUUGAAUGUACAUGAGUAUGCAAGCACAGGAAUCUGAAAAACCACAGGUCAAGCUGUAGAACAUUUCUGGUAGGCCAGAAGAUUUCUUCCUGCCUUUUCUGCUCAUCAUUCGUCUGCCUCCAAAGGAAGGAAUGAAAUGCAGAUAACUCUUUAGAAAACUUUUGUAGGAAAAGUACCUCGUGUGAUCUGGAGCAAAGACAUUUUAUAAUCAGAUUUGUCAAGCUGCGAAGAGGGAGUUUUAGCAAACGGAAGCAGCAGCAUUCUGUCCCCAGGAAACACUGCUUUAUCCAGAAUUGAAUCUCUCCCCAGAAGGCCAUGGAUCGUCCAGCUACUGAAAAGCAUAGAUGCCCUCAGUGGCUCAGUAGCCAGUGUAGAUCCUGUCUUUUGUAAUCAGCAGCUACAUCUGGCUACUGGGUCUCUGAUUACAUCUUCUAACUUCUAUUACAAUAUUCUAAGAACAAUAUUGGUCCAUCUUCAAUAAGGAAAGCUUCACCUUAAGUCAUACAGAGAGAGUUUUUGAGGUAUGAGAUGUGAUAUACUCCAUUAUUAGCUGGGUUUUAGAAACUUUGGUUUUAUGAAUAAUGAGAAGUCUGUUUGCUUUCAUUACACCAAAAGAUAAAAUCUGGAUUGUUUUGCCCUCUAUUCUCUCCUUUCCCUGUGGAAGGACUCAUCUGCCGCCAUGGAAGGAAUCAUUUGCCACUCUGUAUGUAUAUAUGUAUAUACCAGUCAAUCUACCUAUAUCUAGAUAUUGCAUCCAUCUAUUUACCCACCUAACCCAUCAGUCCAUCCUUCUGUCCAUACAUAGAUAGACAACACAUAUGUGGACUCUGCAAAAUAACAUAUUUAUUGAAUAAUAACACCAUAAUAUAGUGGUUUGAGGAAACUUCAUUUGCAGAACAUAGGUCUCAGCAAUUCUGACCUUAGCUUGUCCUUUUUCCAUGGCAGAAGAGCUACUAAUUUUGAUAUCUUUAAUGCAGUAGCCAAGUAUGUUGAAAUAGUAUUGGGGGGAUGACUUGGGGGCCGAACCUCCAGGUCUGGGGCAUGAACCUGGCAUACAAUGUAGAUUUCUGUGUUUGUUGAACAACAGCUACAUUGUCUGCUGGGUUUCAGGCUACCUGGAAACAUGUUCUUCACUGACUGUGUCAUCAGUGCUGCAUCCUUUCAAUAGCUUUUCCAUAAAGCACAAAUCAGGAGGGUUUAUGGUUGGACAGAGUACAAGGACGGGACUCUCAGAAAACUGAUCACUUCAGCAAAUAAUGGUUUCAUUGUGAAUUGACUCAAAAUGGUCUCACACCAACCUAGUGAACCAAACCAGAAGCAAGCUAAAUGUUAUUCUUCCCUCCCCCUCCUCAACUCUAGAAGGCUAAGAUUGUUAUGAAUCACUUCAUUUCUGUUUAUGUACUUAGGAUCAGAAAGUGUGGUAUCCAUGGGCCUAAUUACACUGCCCUGUCACCUACUAUUCCCUGCGUUUUGCCUUCUCACCCCCCUGGAAAAAACAGGUUCAUUUUGUAGUUCCUUUACCAUUGUCCUUAAAACUUUUAUGAAGGAGCCUCAGUCUUAAUAGAAUCUGAAUUUUUUUAGUCUGCCUUGUCUUCUCAUCUCCAUCAUGUGUUUCUUGAAAGUAAAGUCUGGAAUUUAGAUAAAGUGAACUAUUUACCACAUUCACUAGCUCUUAUGAAACUGAAAGAGUUGUUUUCCUAUGAAAUGACAGGGAAUAUGUAAAGCUAAUAUCAAGUUUGCAGGACAAAAAGAAUAAGAAAAUGAAACAACUUUUAGACAACACAAAUUUCACAAUGUUUUGUUUGCCUGAUCUUGGUAAAUUUUAAUCCUGUAAAUUUUGUAGAAACUAGCAAGUUAGAUGAUGAAAUUGUUAAUAAUGAAGAAUAAAACUUUUAAAGGAGAAUGUAUUAGCCUUCGGUUUUAUGAACUGGAGAUGUUUAGUAAGAAAUCAGAUACUUUAAAUUAAUAUGUAGUAACAGAUUUGAAGUGGAAAAUGAUUAUAAAGACCAGUGUCUCCAUGUAAUAAUUAUAGUUAUGAUAUGUUUUUGUCACCCCACUCUGAAUUCAAUAAAAAUAAAAGAUAAUGAUGAGCCUUUA